UGAGUAAUCUGCCCUUCACUCUGGGAUAAGCUUCGGAAACGGGGUCUAAUACCGGAUAUGACGCACCCACGCAUGUGGUGUGUGUGGAAACUUUUGUGGGUGGGGGAUGUGCUCGCGGCCUAUCAGCUUGUUGGUGGGGUAAUGGCCUACCAAGGCUUCGACGGGUAGCCGGCCUGAGAGGGUGACCGGCCACACUGGGACUGAGACACGGCCCAGACUCCUACGGGA
RNAcentral lists this ribosomal RNA (228 nucleotides) under uncultured bacterium. RNAcentral's name for it is "partial 16S ribosomal RNA". It matches the Rfam family "Bacterial small subunit ribosomal RNA", at positions 118 to 346 of the family's 1533-position model. The record is from RNAcentral.